This is a long non-coding RNA of Oncorhynchus keta (chum salmon), 890 nucleotides long. RefSeq lists it as uncharacterized. The record is from RefSeq and is a predicted model, not a curated record. NCBI's taxonomy places the organism in Eukaryota, Metazoa, Chordata, Actinopteri, Salmoniformes, Salmonidae. The transcript is spliced from 3 exons.
ACUAUGUUUUUACCACUAUGACAAGGUAGGUCCCACUAUGUGUUUACCACUAUGACAGGGUAGGUCCCCACUAUGUGUUUACCACUAUGACAGGGUAGGUCCCCACUAUGUGUUUACCACUAUGACAGGGUAGGUCCCCACUAUGUGUUUACCACUAUGACAGGGUAGGUCCCCACUAUGUGUUUACCACUAUGACAGGGUAGGUCCCCACUAUGUGUUUACCACUAUGACAGGGUAGGUCCCCACUAUGUGUUUACCACUAUGACAGGGUAGGUCCCCACUGUAUGCCUAAUAUUAAAGUAGUCUCGAGGUAUUGCUCGCCCGAGGUAGAGUACCUCAUGAUAAGCUGUAGACCACACUGUCUACCAAGAGCGUUCUCACCGCCGUCUACAAACCGUUGCUGGUGCGAAGACCGCACUCCGUAGCCGAUGUGAGCAAGACCUUUAAACAGGCCGCGGGGCCAGACGGGUUACCAGGACGUGGACCAACUGGCAAGUGUCUUCACUGACAUUUUCAACUUCUCCCUGUCUGAGUCUGUAAUACCUACAUAUUUCAAACAGACCACCAUCGUCCCUGUGCCCUAGGAAGCGAAGGUGACCUGCGUCAAUGAUUACCGCCCCGUAGCACUCACGUCGGUAGGCAUGAAGUGCUUUGAAAGGCUCACAUCAACACCAUCAUCCCAGAAACCCUGGACCCACUCCACACUGCCCUUUCCCACCUGGACAAAAGGAAUCCCUAUGUGAGAAUGUUGUUCAUUGAAUACAGCACAGCGUUCAACACCAUAGUCCCCUCGCAGCUCAUCACUAAGCUAAGGACCCUGGGACAGAACACCUCCCUCUGCAACGGGAUCCUGGACUUCCUGACGGGCCGCCCCCCAGGUGGUGAGGAUA